ACCCUCUGCUCGCCGCUCUGUCCCGUCCCCCCACCUAUCCAAAAAAAAAAAAAAAACCCCUCACUCUUUUCUGCCUCUCAGACAAUUUCUUCUUCUUCUAUUUUUUUUUUCUUUUUUUGGCGUUUCGAGGAAGUUUUCAGCAAAUCCACCCUCGCUCCCAGCUCUCGCAGGGCGCGAUAACACCGGAGCCCUCUGAAAGUUUGAGAAAAAGAGAGGAGGAGAAGCAGGGAGCGAGGAAAUAAAGAGCAGCACCUAAGGAAGAGCGAGGAGCCGCGCGGGAGCCGGAGGCUGCCCAGCCGGCAUCACCUCCCGGUGUCCCUGAGGUCCCCCCGCAGCCCCGAGGGACGGGAAUCGCGGAGCGCUCGCUCUCGGCCUCCGGGGCUGGAGCAGCCCGGAUCCCGCUGCUGCUGCCGGGGAAUGAGACACAGCCGGGAGCGGGAGGAUGAGGGGACACGGGACCAGCACACGCAGAAAUGCGGACAGACACACGUAAAUACAGACUAAACGUGCAGUGCGACCGCCCGAGUGCUGGGAUCCAAGAGUUCCUCGUGAAUAAACGUGGCUGUUUGUGCACGGAAAUACCCCCAGGCACAGCACAAAAAUCGCGCGCGUGGAUGUGCAGGCGAGCUGCAGGCUUUGGAACGGUGACGAAAAUGAAAAAGAAGGAGCCGGGCAGAGGCAGGGCUUGGCGAGGCGCGGGCACAGCGCUGCCCUUCCGCACCUCCCACGCGUGGGGUGAAGAUCCCUUUUCCUCCUGGAUGCCAAGCAGAGCGUGAUGAUCCCCAAAUUAAUCCCCAGUGGAGCAGAAGGGAUCCAUUCUCUUCUCCCCGAUCCCUCCAAAAGACAUCUCUCAGGGAGGGGACUCCGGGAAGACAGGGGUCCACCACCCCCUCCCCAGUUUUUCCCCAGUGUUGCCCAGAAGAAGAGGGAAUUGUGCUGCAUUUCUCUUCGUGCCCAUUGCCGUGGGGGAUUUUUUGGCACGGGGCAUCCCCGCUCCAUUCCCCCCGCGGGCACGGCCGGGCUGAUCUGCUCUGCCCAAGCAGGGCUCAGUCAGGGCCUCAUCUCGGCCCCGAGGAGAAAAUAAAAGCUGAUAAGGCCUUCGCUCUCUUCGCUGCCUGGGAAGAAAAGAAAUGGGGGCAAAAAAGGGGAAAUGCUCAGCGCCCCGUGCCUCUCCCUGAGAGCGUUCCUGUCCUGACCUUGGAGGGCGGGCGGGGGUGGCAAAAGGAGCCCGAUCCCGCAGGGUUUGAAUCUUUUCAGUGUCUGAUAAAAAGCCUCAAAGCAUCACCUGUGAAUGUUUUUCCUUCCCUCGCUCUCCCGGGGAGAGCAGCCCUGGGCGGGGGGGAACCCCCGGGCAUCCCCACUUCCCUCAUCCCGGCCGAAUUUCUUCCUCCCUUUCUGUCCAACUCAUUUUUCUUUCCCUCUUUUCUCCUUUCCAAGCCCUCUCGCCUCUUUUCUUCCCCAUUUUCCGUUUCCCCCCCCUUUUCUCGCCCCAGGUCGCUUUUCUUCCCCUGCCCUAAAUAACGCCGAACGACAGCGCAGCGCGGCCGCUCUGGAUAUCCACAUUAUAAUUUGUAUUCCCGGCUAUCCACGAAUUUCGGGAGCGGGAGACGCUCCCAGAGAGGCGGGGGGUGGCUGUGGGCUCGGCCUUGGACCGGUAUCACGAGCAUCCUAAAAUCCAUUUUUAUCUCUGCGGGAAAAAUACAGAUUAUAUCAA
Long non-coding RNA from Onychostruthus taczanowskii (white-rumped snowfinch), 1714 nucleotides. RefSeq lists it as uncharacterized. The transcript has 5 exons. The record is from RefSeq and is a predicted model, not a curated record. Lineage: Eukaryota; Metazoa; Chordata; Aves; Passeriformes; Passeridae.